RNAcentral lists this ribosomal RNA (930 nucleotides) under Laccaria trichodermophora. Its description in RNAcentral is "eukaryotic LSU rRNA". It matches the Rfam family "Eukaryotic large subunit ribosomal RNA", at positions 29 to 944 of the family's 3401-position model. Lineage: Eukaryota; Fungi; Basidiomycota; Agaricomycetes; Agaricales; Hydnangiaceae. The record is from RNAcentral.
UGAACUUAAGCAUAUCAAUUAAGCGGAGGAAAAGAAACUAACAAGGAUUCCCCUAGUAACUGCGAGUGAAGCGGGAAAAGCUCAAAUUUAAAAUCUGGCAGUCUUUGGCUGUCCGAGUUGUAAUCUAGAGAAGUAUUAUCCGCGCUGGACCGUGUACAAGUCUCCUGGAAUGGAGCGUCAUAGAGGGUGAGAAUCCCGUCUUUGACACGGACUGCCAGGGCUUUGUGAUAUGCUCUCAAAGAGUCGAGUUGUUUGGGAAUGCAGCUCAAAAUGGGUGGUAAAUUCCAUCUAAAGCUAAAUAUUGGCGAGAGACCGAUAGCGAACAAGUACCGUGAGGGAAAGAUGAAAAGAACUUUGGAAAGAGAGUUAAACAGUACGUGAAAUUGCUGAAAGGGAAACGCUUGAAGUCAGUCGCGUUGGCCAGGGAUCAACCUUGCUUUUGCUUGGCUUACUUUCUGGUCGAUGGGUCAGCAUCAAUUUUGACUGGUGGAAAAAGUUCAAGGGAAUGUGGCAUCUUCGGAUGUGUUAUAGCCUUUGUUCACAUACAUUGGUUGGGAUUGAGGAACUCAGCACGCCGCAAGGCCGGGUUUUUAACCACGUACGUGCUUAGGAUGCUGGCAUAAUGGCUUUAAUCGACCCGUCUUGAAACACGGACCAAGGAGUCUAACAUGCCUGCGAGUAUUUGGGUGAAAAACCCGAGUGCGUAAUGAAAGUGAAAGUUGAGAUCCCUGUCGUGGGGAGCAUUGACGCCCGGAUCUGACCUUUUGUGACGAUUCUGCGGUAGAGCAUGUAUGUUGGGACCCGAAAGAUGGUGAACUAUGCCUGAAUAGGGUGAAGCCAGAGGAAACUCUGGUGGAGGCUCGUAGCGAUUCUGACGUGCAAAUCGAUCGUCAAAUUUGGGUAUAGGGGCGAAAGACUAAUCGAACCAUC